GUAGUCCACGCCCUAAACGAUGUCAACUGGGUGUUGGGGAAGCGAUUCCUUGGUACCGUAGCUAACGCGUGAAGUUGACCGCCUGGGGAGUACGGCCGCAAGGUUAAAACUCAAAGGAAUUGACGGGGACCCGCACAAGCGGUGGAUGAUGUGGAUUAAUUCGAUGCAACGCGAACAACCUUACCUACCCUUGACAUGUCUGGAACCCUGCUGAGAGGCGGGGGUGCCCGAAAGGGAACCGGAACACAGGUGCUGCAUGGCUGUCGUCAGCUCGUGUCGUGAGAUGUUGGGUUAAGUCCCGCAACGAGCGCAACCCUUGUCCCUAGUUGCUACGCAAGGGCACUCUAGGGAGACUGCCGGUGACAAACCGGAGGAAGGUGGGGAUGACGUCAAGUCCUCAUGGCCCUUAUGGGUAGGGCUUCACACGUCAUACAAUGGCCGGUACAGAGGGUUGCCAACCCGCGAGGGGGAGCCAAUCCCAGAAAGCCGGUCGUAGUCCGGAUUGCAGUCUGCAACUCGACUGCAUGAAGUCGGAAUCGCUAGUAAUCGCGGAUCAGCAUGUCGCGGUGAAUA
Molecule: ribosomal RNA, 573 nt
Filed under: uncultured Rhodocyclaceae bacterium
Lineage: Bacteria; Pseudomonadati; Pseudomonadota; Betaproteobacteria; Rhodocyclales; Rhodocyclaceae
Description: bacterial SSU rRNA
Rfam family: Bacterial small subunit ribosomal RNA
Source: RNAcentral